This 460-nucleotide ribosomal RNA is filed under the name uncultured bacterium. Its description in RNAcentral is "partial 16S ribosomal RNA". It matches the Rfam family "Bacterial small subunit ribosomal RNA", at positions 338 to 795 of the family's 1533-position model. The record is from RNAcentral.
UCUACGGGAGGCAGCAGUGAGGAAUAUUGGUCAAUGGGCGAGAGCCUGAACCAGCCAAGUCGCGUGAAGGAUGACGGCCCUACGGGUUGUAAACUUCUUUUGUCAGGGAGCAAUUGAGUCAACGUGUGGGCUUAGCGAGAGUACCUGAAGAAAAAGCAUAGGAUAACGCCGUGCCAGCAGCGGAGGUAAUAAGGAGGAUGCGAGCGUUAUCCGGAUUUUUUGGGUUUAAAGGGUGCGUAGGCGGAAUAUCAAGUAAGGUGUAAAAAUUCGGGGCUAAACCCCAUCGUGCAGUUGAAACUGAUGUUCUUGAGUGGGCGAGAAGUAUGCGGAAUGCGUGGUGUAGCGGUGAAAUGCAUAGAUAUCACGCGGAACUCCGAUUGCGAAGGCAGCAUACCGGCGCCCAACUGACGCUGAAGCACGAAAGCGUGGGUAUCGAACAGGAUUAGAUACCCGUGUAGUC